UUACGGCCACAUCACGUUGAAACACCGGUUCCCGUACGAUAACUGAAGUUAAGCAACGUCGAACCUGGUCAUUACCUAGAUAGGUUACCGCUUGGGAAUACUAGGUGCUGUAA
Molecule: ribosomal RNA, 113 nt
Filed under: Acanthosepion pharaonis
Lineage: Eukaryota; Metazoa; Mollusca; Cephalopoda; Sepiida; Sepiidae
Source: RNAcentral